CACCGAAGCUGCGGCAGCGAACGUAUCACCCAAGACAACUUUACGGAGUUGACGAUUGACGGAGCGAAGCGACGUCAAAGCGUUCAUUAAAGUCGAGUUGGCUUAGGGAUACGUUCGUUGGGUAGGGGAGCGUUCUGUAAGCCUGUGAAGGUGUGUCGUGAGGCAUGCUGGAGGUAUCAGAAGUGCGAAUGCUGACAUAAGUAACGAUAAAGCGGGUGAAAAGCCCGCUCGCCGGAAGACCAAGGGUUCCUGUCCAACGUUAAUCGGGGCAGGGUGAGUCGACCCCUAAGGCGAGGCCGAAAGGCGUAGUCGAUGGGAAACGGGUUAAUAUUCCCGUACUUGGUGUUACUGCGAAGGGGGGACGGAGAAGGCUAUGUUGGCCGGGCGACGGUUGUCCCGGUUUAAGCGUGUAGGUGUGUGUUCCAGGUAAAUCCGGUUCACUUUAACACUGAGGCGUGACGACGAGGCACUACGGUGCUGAAGCAACAAAUGCCCUGCUUCCAGGAAAAGCCUCUAAGCAUCAGGUAACACGAAAUCGUACCCCAAACCGACACAGGUGGUCAGGUAGAGAAUACCAAGGCGCUUGAGAGAACUCGGGUGAAGGAACUAGGCAAAAUGGUGCCGUAACUUCGGGAGAAGGCACGCUGACACGUAGGUGAAGUGAUUUACUCAUGGAGCUGAAGUCAGUCGAAG
Molecule: ribosomal RNA, 693 nt
Filed under: Salmonella enterica subsp. enterica serovar Typhimurium
Lineage: Bacteria; Pseudomonadati; Pseudomonadota; Gammaproteobacteria; Enterobacterales; Enterobacteriaceae
Also listed under: 1 other name
Description: partial 23S ribosomal RNA
Rfam family: Bacterial large subunit ribosomal RNA
Source: RNAcentral